This 26-nucleotide non-coding RNA is filed under the name Rattus norvegicus (Norway rat). Lineage: Eukaryota; Metazoa; Chordata; Mammalia; Rodentia; Muridae. The record is from RNAcentral.
UUCCUGGGAAGAGGCCUGAUGGCUGG